RNAcentral lists this ribosomal RNA (279 nucleotides) under Triticum aestivum (bread wheat). RNAcentral describes it as "partial small subunit ribosomal RNA". Lineage: Eukaryota; Viridiplantae; Streptophyta; Magnoliopsida; Poales; Poaceae. The record is from RNAcentral.
AUGGUACCAAGAGGGAUUACUAGAAGACCUAGUAGUACAGUUAGAGGCCAAAUUUUACUUCAGAAGGUCUGUGAUCUGAUCGACCCUAUUUCUGGACAGUGGGACCAAGAUCUUGUUCAACAAGUAUUCAAUGCUGAUGUUGGCCCUCAUAUUCUGAGUAUUCCAAUUAAGGACGGAUUUGAUGAUCUUCCAGCUUGGCAUCCCGAUCCGAAAGGUAACUUUUCGGUUCGUUCAGCUUACAAACUCAAAAGCUUACAAACUCAAACUUCAGUUGGAUGA